RNAcentral lists this ribosomal RNA (484 nucleotides) under uncultured bacterium. RNAcentral describes it as "partial 16S ribosomal RNA". It matches the Rfam family "Bacterial small subunit ribosomal RNA", at positions 29 to 507 of the family's 1533-position model. The record is from RNAcentral.
AUUGAACGCUGGCGGCAUGCUUUACACAUGCAAGUCGAACGGCAGCGCGGGCUUCGGCCUGGCGGCGAGUGGCGAACGGGUGAGUAAUACAUCGGAACGUGCCCAGUAGUGGGGGAUAGCUCGGCGAAAGCCGGAUUAAUACCGCAUACGACCUGAGGGUGAAAGCGGGGGAUCUUCGGACCUCGCGCUAUUGGAGCGGCCGAUGGCAGAUUAGCUAGUUGGUGGGGUAAAGGCCUACCAAGGCGACGAUCUGUAGCUGGUCUGAGAGGACGACCAGCCACACUGGGACUGAGACACGGCCCAGACUCCUACGGGAGGCAGCAGUGGGGAAUUUUGGACAAUGGGCGAAAGCCUGAUCCAGCAAGGCCGCGUGUGUGAUGAAGGCCUUCGGGUUGUAAAGCACUUUUGGCGGGAACGAAAAGGACUGUGCCAAUACCACGGUUCGAUGACGGUACCCGCAGAAUAAGCACCGGCUAACUACGUG